GGGGGGUUGGGAUGGCCCUUGAGGGCUGCUUCUGCCUCAUUUUGCUGUCAUUUGCUGUGGUGUUCGGCCACAGACCUCUCCUGGAGCAUGGAUUAUGGCAGCUCCUGAAGGUUUAAACAGCUCUUUCAGAUACCCGUCUGUCUUUUGGAUUGGAAGAGUGAGCCGAAAUGAAGAGGAGAUGCUGUUGUACAGGGGAAGCGUGUCACCUACAGCCACCUAUUUACAGGUGGUGACCUCAAUGUCCGACUCCAUCUGUGUGGCAGUAAAAGUGGCCCUUGGAAGGAAAGGAAACUUGUUUCCUACAGCUGUGGCACAAGGCUGUGUCAGCGCAGCCACCACUGCAGAUGUCCAUCAUUUUAGAGAGUCACAAACCUUUGGUACUCAUUUCUGAGCAACCCUGAGCCCUGAAACACUGCAACAGCGGCACCAAGAGGUCUCUCAACAGCGCAAUUCCGUUGCACCAGCACCUAAUCGGCCACACUGCUAUAUUUCUCUACCCACUUGUCUCUCAUGAGAUGCUACCUGAGCUCUGUCAUGUCACUAGAGACGCUCUUCACAGCACCUACUGAUGAUGGAAACUUAAAGGACACCGAGUUGCUUCCUCAAAGCUAUGAUGAAGCCAGAAAACCAGGCACCGAGAACAACCACAAAUCCCCCGAACCCUGUGCUCCCUGAAGAGCAGCGACAGUUCCUCAUUUUGCAGAAGUGAGCCCCUCUAGCUUCUUACGUGUUUCAUCGUGAACAGGAACUUGCAAGAGACCCACACAAUGGA
Chroicocephalus ridibundus (black-headed gull) is the source of this 772-nucleotide long non-coding RNA. RefSeq lists it as uncharacterized. NCBI's taxonomy places the organism in Eukaryota, Metazoa, Chordata, Aves, Charadriiformes, Laridae. The transcript has 3 exons. The record is from RefSeq and is a predicted model, not a curated record.